AAGACUAUACUUUCAGGAAUCAUGUCUAUAGUUUGUUACUAGAGAAGUUUCUCUGAUCCUAUAGAGCACCUGAAACUAUGAGGAGGAGCCAUAGCAUCCUCUCCUGAGUGUGAACUGUUUCUAGGUGUUGUUUUCUAACUCUUUUACCGUUGAUGACUAUUCUUCUCACCCUUGAAAGAGUGAGAGGGAGAGGAUGCUGUCUGAGUGGU
Small nucleolar RNA from Sorex fumeus (smoky shrew), 209 nucleotides. RefSeq annotates it as small nucleolar RNA U3. The transcript has a single exon. NCBI's taxonomy places the organism in Eukaryota, Metazoa, Chordata, Mammalia, Eulipotyphla, Soricidae. The record is from RefSeq and is a predicted model, not a curated record.